GCCCCUGUGGCGGAACUGGCAGACGCACGCGGCCCAAACCCGCGCGCCCGCAACGGGUUUGCAGGUUCAACUCCUGCCAGGGGCA
RNAcentral lists this transfer RNA (85 nucleotides) under Amycolatopsis saalfeldensis. It matches the Rfam family "tRNA". From Rfam's summary of the family: Transfer RNA (tRNA) molecules are approximately 80 nucleotides in length. Their secondary structure includes four short double-helical elements and three loops (D, anti-codon, and T loops). Further hydrogen bonds mediate the characteristic L-shaped molecular structure. tRNAs have two regions of fundamental functional importance: the anti-codon, which is responsible for specific mRNA codon recognition, and the 3' end, to which the tRNAs corresponding amino acid is attached (by aminoacyl-tRNA synthetases). tRNAs cope with the degeneracy of the genetic code in two manners: having more than one tRNA (with a specific anti-codon) for a particular amino acid; and 'wobble' base-pairing, i.e. permitting non-standard base-pairing at the 3rd anti-codon position. The record is from Rfam by way of RNAcentral. Lineage: Bacteria; Bacillati; Actinomycetota; Actinomycetes; Pseudonocardiales; Pseudonocardiaceae.